RNAcentral lists this transfer RNA (72 nucleotides) under Camelus ferus (Wild Bactrian camel). It matches the Rfam family "tRNA". Rfam says of the family: Transfer RNA (tRNA) molecules are approximately 80 nucleotides in length. Their secondary structure includes four short double-helical elements and three loops (D, anti-codon, and T loops). The record is from Rfam by way of RNAcentral. Lineage: Eukaryota; Metazoa; Chordata; Mammalia; Artiodactyla; Camelidae.
AAGGGUGUAGUUCAAUGGUAGAGUGUGUGCUUAGCAUACAUGAGGUUCUGGGUUCAAUCCCCAGUACCUCCA